Molecule: long non-coding RNA, 496 nt
Organism: Cyprinus carpio carpio
Lineage: Eukaryota; Metazoa; Chordata; Actinopteri; Cypriniformes; Cyprinidae
Source: Ensembl
CGGAACUAUCUGUUUUAUAAUGACAAUUUUCACCUAAGAUUUGGAGCCAAAUUACAGAAGGAAAAAAAUGACUAUAAAGAUGACAGCAUCAUGGUGUUAUUUUUACACAGAGAUUGGUGCACAAAUGUGUUUCAACUGUGUUCUCGUGUCGUGCCAUCCAGUUCCCUUCAGAAAGAGGAGAGUCUGAUGUAAGAACAGGUCUUCUCAGGGGAAUCAUGUUACCUGUUGUAUCUUCAGCUCAAAACAGACUGAGAAAUAUGAGGAAUGAAACGUGAAGCUCGAGGUCAGUGUGAGACUCGACUGCGAAUGAAUGCAAAUGGCAAACACAUUCAUUGUGUUUCAUCACUGAUGCUACAAUGACAUUGUUCUGCUUCUCUUGCUAACCAGGGAGGAGCGCUGAAUUGAUCAAGUUUGGUUUUCAAAGCCUGACCUUACAGUCUCCGUGCUGAUCUUCUUUCAGCAUUCAAUUCAUCUGCAUAUUAUACUAUCAUACCAG